UACAUUUCCAAGGCCAAUUUUGCAUGGGCUAGCCACAGUUUAACUACUCAUGUUGAACAUAACAUAACCAAGGAUACCAUUUCGAAGGUAUUCAUUACAUAAUGAGGGAUAGUUUAGUAGAUACUCAUCACAUAACCAAGGAUAGUAUAAUAGGUACUCAUUACAUAACAUAAGCAAGAGUGGAUUACAUAACCCAACUAGUGAACACUGAUAGCAGUUCACUCAUCAAGUAUAGCCUUCAUCUUGGCAAGUUUGUCCUUGUAACCUUGACCAGCUUUGAGGAGAUAUCCAACAACAUACUCUAACUUCUUCUCCUCCUCUUUCACAAGAUCCCUCUCAUGGUUUUAUCUCAUCCCUCUCCUUCCUAGUGUUCCUGAUGAUUUCCCCCUUAGAUAUAGUAAUGCACUUGAGCUCCUUGUCAUCAAUAAUAAGAUUUUCAAACUCCUCCUUCAUCUUGUCAUUCUCAAGCUUCUCCUUCUCUUGGUCAAUAGUCAGCUUCCGUAUCUCCUUGUCUACAU
RNAcentral lists this long non-coding RNA (518 nucleotides) under Hordeum vulgare. RNAcentral's name for it is "long non-coding RNA (HVUL_LNC019073)". The record is from RNAcentral. Lineage: Eukaryota; Viridiplantae; Streptophyta; Magnoliopsida; Poales; Poaceae.